AUGUCCCUUUUUUCUUCCUCUUCCCACUUUCCCCUCCUUUUUAUUAAAAAAAAAAAAAAAGAAUGGAAUCCAGCUUUCUCCAGAAGUUUGCUCUUCAGCCUCUUCUCUCCCACGCGGUGGAAGAAGGACCCCAUUGCAAGGAGUGCUUCCAGGCAGGACCUCAAUGGUCUGAUGGUCGCCCCCAAUCCUCGGCGCGCUCGGUCCCCCACGCCCCCAGCUUCGGUCCCUCCAUUUGAUCUCAGGGUCCUAACAGGCAUCAGAGAAAACACUGGAGGAGUUGGAUCCAGGUCAUAUAGGAACUCUAGAGAUGGCCACCAGAAGUGGGGAAGGAGAUAAAGCCGAAUGCCCCACUAAUUCUGACCACCUUGCAAAUGCUUGUGGUUUUUCACAGGAGAAUCAGAGCAGACUGUUGGGAAGAACUCGGAGCAUCUUCACCUGGAUUUUCACGGGUAUGUGGAAAUGUACGUGGUCAGAGCUGACGUUCUAACUUUUCACUUUCUCCCAUAUUCUGCCGCU
Molecule: long non-coding RNA, 516 nt
Filed under: Suricata suricatta (meerkat)
Lineage: Eukaryota; Metazoa; Chordata; Mammalia; Carnivora; Herpestidae
Description: lncRNA (ENSSSUG00005003114.1)
Source: RNAcentral